CUAGCUUCUCAAAAGUGAUUCUGAGUCCAAAAUCACUUUUGAGCUCAGUAGAGCAUUUUGGGACGACAGAUAGAAAAUUUGAUUCUACUUCUCAGAAUCAGAAAACUGAUUUUGAAGGCUUUAGAAUCAGAAACAGAAAAAAGUUGCUUCUCCAAAACUGAUUCUAAUUUUGAAAUCAAACUUCAAAUUUUUAUUUUUAUUUUAUAUUCAAAGUAUAAAUUUAAUAUUAAAUUUAAAUUUUGAAAUCCUAAAUUCAUAUUUGAAAUUUUAAAUCUCAACUUUUCAAAUUUAAAAUUUCAAAUUUUGAUUUAAAUUUUAAAUUU
This 323-nucleotide long non-coding RNA is filed under the name Ananas comosus (pineapple). RNAcentral's name for it is "long non-coding RNA (ACOM_LNC013342)". Lineage: Eukaryota; Viridiplantae; Streptophyta; Magnoliopsida; Poales; Bromeliaceae. The record is from RNAcentral.